This 491-nucleotide ribosomal RNA is filed under the name uncultured bacterium. Its description in RNAcentral is "partial 16S ribosomal RNA". It matches the Rfam family "Bacterial small subunit ribosomal RNA", at positions 29 to 506 of the family's 1533-position model. The record is from RNAcentral.
AGUGAACGCUGGCGGUAGGCCUAACACAUGCAAGUCGAACGGCAGCACAGUAAGAGCUUGCUCUUACGGGUGGCGAGUGGCGGACGGGUGAGGAAUACAUCGGAAUCUACUUUUUCGUGGGGGAUAACGUAGGGAAACUUACGCUAAUACCGCAUACGACCUACGGGUGAAAGCAGGGGAUCUUCGGACCUUGCGCGAUUGAAUGAGCCGAUGUCGGUUUAGCUAGUUGGCGGGGUAAAGGCCCACCAAGGCGACGAUCCGUAGCUGGUCUGAGAGGAUGAUCAGCCACACUGGAACUGAGACACGGUCCAGACUCCUACGGGAGGCAGCAGUGGGGAAUAUUGGACAAUGGGCGCAAGCCUGAUCCAGCCAUACCGCGUGGGUGAAGAAGGCCUGCGGGUUGUAAAGCCCUUUUGUUGGGAAAGAAAAGCAGCAGGUUAAUACCCCGCUGUUCUGACGGUACCCAAAGAAUAAGCACCGGCUAACUUCGU